Molecule: non-coding RNA, 264 nt
Organism: Pantherophis guttatus
Lineage: Eukaryota; Metazoa; Chordata; Lepidosauria; Squamata; Colubridae
Source: RefSeq, a predicted model, not a curated record
UGCAGGAGGUUACAUUAUUUCAUCCUAAUGUACAACACCUUGACUUUUUGGAGUAAAAGAGAACUAUAAUGACUAUCUUCUGGAGAUGACCAAGCUGAGCCUGACGGAGGAGUCAAAUGCAUCAUAAAUCAUGAGUCCCUGCGUGAUCUAAAUCCAGCCUACCUUGAAUGCCUCUCUUAUCUCCUGCUCAUUUCCCUUGACUGCUAGUUGGUCAGAUUCUUGUAGAGAGCUUAAGCUUGCAAUAAAUCUUUGUACUCAUUUGAA